Molecule: transfer RNA, 75 nt
Filed under: Deltaproteobacteria bacterium
Lineage: Bacteria; Pseudomonadati; Myxococcota; Myxococcia
Description: tRNA-Val
Rfam family: tRNA
About the family: Transfer RNA (tRNA) molecules are approximately 80 nucleotides in length. Their secondary structure includes four short double-helical elements and three loops (D, anti-codon, and T loops).
Source: RNAcentral
GGGCGAUUAACUCAGCGGUAGAGUGUCAGCCUUACAAGCUGAAAGCCGAGGGUUCGAGCCCCCCAUCGCCCACCA